GACGAACGCUGGCGGCGUGCUUAACACAUGCAAGUCGAACGGGGUGUUUAUUUCGGUAAACACCAAGUGGCGAACGGGUGAGUAACGCGUAAGCAAUCUACCUUCAAAAUGGGGACAACACUUCGAAAGGGGUGCUAAUACCGAAUGAAUGUAAGAGUAUCUCAUGAGACACUUACUAAAGGAGGCCUCUGACAUAAGCUUCCGCUUGAAGAUGAGCUUGCGUCUGAUUAGCUAGUUGGUGAGGGUAAAGGCCCACCAAGGCGACGAUCAGUAGCCGGUCUGAGAGGAUGAACGGCCACAUUGGGACUGAGACACGGCCCAGACUCCUACGGGAGGCAGCAGUGGGGAAUCUUCCGCAAUGGGCGAAAACCUGACGGAGCAACGCCGCGUGAACGAUGAAGGUCUUAGGAUCGUAAAGUUCUGUUGUUAGGGACGAAGGGUAAGAAUCAUAAUAAGGUUUUUAUUUGACGGUACCUAACGAGGAAGCCACGGCUAACUACGUG
RNAcentral lists this ribosomal RNA (503 nucleotides) under uncultured bacterium. RNAcentral describes it as "partial 16S ribosomal RNA". It matches the Rfam family "Bacterial small subunit ribosomal RNA", at positions 28 to 507 of the family's 1533-position model. The record is from RNAcentral.